RNAcentral lists this ribosomal RNA (1343 nucleotides) under uncultured bacterium. RNAcentral describes it as "16S ribosomal RNA". It matches the Rfam family "Bacterial small subunit ribosomal RNA", at positions 28 to 1378 of the family's 1533-position model. The record is from RNAcentral.
GACGAACGCUGGCGGCGUGCUUAACACAUGCAAUUCGAACGGAAAGGCCCUGCUUUUGUGGGGUGCUCGAGUGGCGAACGGGUGAGUAACACGUGAGUAACCUGCCCUUGACUUUGGGAUAACUUCAGGAAACUGGGGCUAAUACCGGAUAGGAGCUCCUGCUGCAUGGUGGGGGUUGGAAAGUUUCGGCGGUUGGGGAUGGACCCGCGGCUUAUCAGCUUGUUGGUGGGGUAGUGGCUUACCAAGGCUUUGACGGGUAGCCGGCCUGAGAGGGUGACCGGCCACAUUGGGACUGAGAUACGGCCCAGACUCCUACGGGAGGCAGCAGUGGGGAAUAUUGCACAAUGGGCGGAAGCCUGAUGCAGCAACGCCGCGUGCGGGAUGACGGCCUUCGGGUUGUAAACCGCUUUCGCCUGUGACGAAGCGUGAGUGACGGUAAUGGGUAAAGAAGCACCGGCUAACUACGUGCCAGCAGCCGCGGUGAUACGUAAGGUGCGAGCGUUGUCCGGAUUUAUUGGGCGUAAAGGGCUCGUAGGUGGUUGAUCGCGUCGGAAGUGUAAUCUUGGGGCUUAACCCUGAGCGUGCUUUCGAUACGGGUUGACUUGAGGAAGGUAGGGGAGAAUGGAAUUCCUGGUGGAGCGGUGGAAUGCGCAGAUAUCAGGAGGAACACCAGUGGCGAAGGCGGUUCUCUGGGCCUUUCCUGACGCUGAGGAGCGAAAGCGUGGGGAGCGAACAGGCUUAGAUACCCUGGUAGUCCACGCUGUAAACGGUGGGUACUAGGUGUGGGGUCCAUUCCACGGGUUCCGUGCCGUAGCUAACGCUUUAAGUACCCCGCCUGGGGAGUACGGCCGCAAGGCUAAAACUCAAAGGAAUUGACGGGGCCCCGCACAAGCGGCGGAGCAUGCGGAUUAAUUCGAUGCAACGCGUAGAACCUUACCUGGGUUUGACAUGGAUCGGGAGUGCUCAGAGAAGGGUGUGCCUCUUUUGGGGUCGGUUCACAGGUGGUGCAUGGCUGUCGUCAGCUCGUGUCGUGAGAUGUUGGGUUAAGUCCCGCAACGAGCGCAACCCUUGUUCACUGUUGCCAGCACGUUAUGGUGGGGACUCAGUGGAGACCGCCGGGGUCAACUCGGAGGAAGGUGGGGAUGACGUCAAGUCAUCAUGCCCCUUAUGUCCAGGGCUUCACGCAUGCUACAAUGGCUGGUACAGAGAGUGGCGAGCCUGUGAGGGUGAGCGAAUCUCGGGAAGCCGGUCUCAGUUCGGAUUGGGGUCUGCAACUCGACCUCAUGAAGUCGGAGUCGCUAGUAAUCGCAGAUCAGCAACGCUGCGGUGAAUACGUUCCCGGG